AGUAGGGAAUCUUCCACAAUGGGCGAAAGCCUGAUGGAGCAACGCCGCGUGAGUGAAGAAGGAUUUCGGUUCGUAAAACUCUGUUGUAAGGGAAGAACAAGUACAGUAGUAACUGGCUGUACCUUGACGGUACCUUAUUAGAAAGCCACGGCUAACUACGUGCCAGCAGCCGCGGUAAUACGUAGGUGGCAAGCGUUGUCCGGAAUUAUUGGGCGUAAAGCGCGCGCAGGUGGUUUCUUAAGUCUGAUGUGAAAGCCCACGGCUCAACCGUGGAGGGUCAUUGGAAACUGGGAGACUUGAGUGCAGAAGAGGAUAGUGGAAUUCCAAGUGUAGCGGUGAAAUGCGUAGAGAUUUGGAGGAACACCAGUGGCGAAGGCGA
Molecule: ribosomal RNA, 379 nt
Filed under: Lysinibacillus fusiformis
Lineage: Bacteria; Bacillati; Bacillota; Bacilli; Caryophanales; Bacillaceae
Description: bacterial SSU rRNA
Rfam family: Bacterial small subunit ribosomal RNA
Source: RNAcentral